Molecule: ribosomal RNA, 548 nt
Filed under: uncultured bacterium
Lineage: Bacteria
Description: bacterial SSU rRNA
Rfam family: Bacterial small subunit ribosomal RNA
Source: RNAcentral
UGGGGAAUAUUGGACAAUGGGGGAAACCCUGAUCCAGCAACGCCGCGUGGGGGACGAAGGCCUUCGGGUCGUAAACUCCUGUCAGUAGGGGAAGAAUGUCUCUCGUUCAAUAGGCGAGAGGCUUGACGGUACCUGCAGAGGAAGCCCCGGCUAACUCCGUGCCAGCAGCCGCGGUAAUACGGAGGGUGCGAGCGUUAAUCGGAAUUACUGGGCGUAAAGCGCGCGUAGGCGGUUUGGUAAGUCAGAUGUGAAAGCCCCGGGCUCAACCUGGGAACUGCAUUUGAUACUGCCUGACUAGAGUAUGGUAGAGGGAAGUGGAAUUCCACAUGUAGCGGUGAAAUGCGUAGAGAUGUGGAGGAACACCAGUGGCGAAGGCGGCUUCCUGGACCAAUACUGACGCUGAGGUGCGAAAGCGUGGGGAGCAAACAGGAUUAGAUACCCGUGGUAGUCCAGCGCCGUAAAACGAUGUCAACUAGCCGUUGGGAGGGUUGCCUCUUAGUGGCGCAGCUAACGCGAUAAGUUGACCGCCUGGGAGUACGGUCGCAAGA